GAUGAAGAACGUAGCGAAAUGCGAUACUUGGUGUGAAUUGCAGAAUCCCGUGAACUAUCGAGUCUUUGAACGCAAGUUGCGCCCGAAGCCAUCAGGUUGAGGGCACGUCUGCCUGGGCGUCACAUAUCGUUGCCCAAUGCCUAUUGCAGUGCAAUAGGAAUUUCUAGGGCGAAUGAUGGCUUCCCGUGAGCGUUGUUGCCUCGCGGUUGGUUGAAAAUCGAGUCCUUGGUAGGGUGUGCCAUGGUAGAUGGUGGUCGAGUUAGAACGAUACCGAUCAUGUGCAUGCUCCCCAAAAUAUGGCCUCUAUGACCCACACGCGUCUUUUGACGCUCAUGACGAGACCUCAGGUCAGGCGGGGCUACCCGCUGAAUUUAAGCAUAUCAAUAAGCGGAGGA
Molecule: unclassified non-coding RNA, 395 nt
Filed under: soil metagenome
Description: partial contains 5.8S ribosomal RNA, internal transcribed spacer 2, and large subunit ribosomal RNA
Rfam family: 5.8S ribosomal RNA (bases 1-122)
Source: RNAcentral